CUUGAAACCAUAUAAGAGGUCCAGCCUGCCCAGUGACUAAGUUCAACGGCCGCGGUAUCCUAACCGUGCGAAGGUAGCGUAAUCACUUGUUCUUUAAAUGAGGACUAGUAUGAAUGGCACCACGAGGGUUAUACUGUCUCCUUUCUCUAAUUAAUGAAACUGAUCUCCCCGUGAAGAAGCGGGGAUAAAUUUAUAAGACGAGAAGACCCUAUGGAGCUUUAAACUACGUGACACUGGCUUAUAUUCUACUGUGUUUCAGAAUUAUCACAAUUAUACUAGCUAGAAUGAUUACUAGUUUUAGGUUGGGGUGACCACGGAGCAAAAAUUAACCUCCAUGAUGAACGGAACCUAUUCCUGAGCUAAAAGCUACAACUUUAAGCACUAACAAAUUAACAUUAAUUGACCCAAAAUAUUGAUCAACGAAC
This 425-nucleotide ribosomal RNA is filed under the name Dendropsophus minutus group sp. ABGD cluster 57. RNAcentral describes it as "partial large subunit ribosomal RNA". It matches the Rfam family "Bacterial large subunit ribosomal RNA", at positions 1834 to 2457 of the family's 2925-position model. The record is from RNAcentral. Lineage: Eukaryota; Metazoa; Chordata; Amphibia; Anura; Hylidae.